This 97-nucleotide microRNA precursor is filed under the name Glycine max (soybean). Its description in RNAcentral is "miR160f stem-loop (gma-MIR160f)". Its record names the gene gma-MIR160f. The stretch from base 7 to 92 matches the Rfam family "mir-160 microRNA precursor family". From Rfam's summary of the family: The hairpin precursors (represented here) are predicted based on base pairing and cross-species conservation -- their extents are not known. In this case the mature sequence is excised from the 5' arm of the hairpin. Lineage: Eukaryota; Viridiplantae; Streptophyta; Magnoliopsida; Fabales; Fabaceae. The record is from miRBase by way of RNAcentral.
UACAUUGUGUGCCUGGCUCCCUGUAUGCCAUUUGUAGACCCCAUCACAAUGGUGAUGGCCUUAUCAAAUGGCGUAUGAGGAGUCAUGCAUGCUGUGU